ACAAAAUCGUGGACAUCACUGUCAUGGAGAAAAAAGAAAAGUAAAUGCAAUCGGUUGUUCUCUGGGCGGGGCGAUUUUUAAUUUCUAAUCCUGCAUUCGAAAGUAGGCUAUCCUUCGAUGGAGAUGUGACAGUUUGGUUCUCAGAAGAGAAAGGAGAGAGAAGACAGGGAGAGAAGGCAAAAUGAAGGAAGUCAAGUUCUGAGUUCAGAGAGAGGCAUGGAGGAUGCAGGACUGCCACUACAAUACAUGGAGAACCAGUGGAAGCCAUACAUGAGAACAAAUCCUGGGCACUGUCAUUGAUGAUAAAUUGCAUUUUGAUUCCAACACGGAGGUGAUCCUUAAAAAAUGUCAACAGCGCAAGUAUUUUUGAGGAAGCUAUACUCCUUUGGAGUAAACAGGAAGAUCCUCACAGUUUUUUACACCUCCUUCAUUGAAAGUGUACUGACUUUUUCAUCUAUAUGCUGGUUUCACUCCCUCUCCAUCAACAAUAAGAAUAAUAUAUCAAAUAUGCCCCCAGCGCUGCCCCGGGUGAACUACAGGCAUGAGCAGGCAGUCUCUUUGCUUUGAACUUUGCUAGUAGUGAGCAGAUACUAA
Sardina pilchardus (European sardine) is the source of this 594-nucleotide long non-coding RNA. RefSeq lists it as uncharacterized. The record is from RefSeq and is a predicted model, not a curated record. The transcript is spliced from 3 exons. Lineage: Eukaryota; Metazoa; Chordata; Actinopteri; Clupeiformes; Clupeidae.